RNAcentral lists this ribosomal RNA (507 nucleotides) under uncultured bacterium. Its description in RNAcentral is "bacterial SSU rRNA". It matches the Rfam family "Bacterial small subunit ribosomal RNA", at positions 17 to 518 of the family's 1533-position model. The record is from RNAcentral.
UUCUGGCUCAGGAUGAACGCUAGCGACAGGCUUAACACAUGCAAGUCGAGGGCAGCAUAGAAGUAGCAAUACUUGGUGGCGACCGGCGCACGGGUGAGUAACGCGUAUGCAACCUACCUAUCAGAGGGGAAUAACCCGGCGAAAGUCGGACUAAUACCGCAUAAAACAGGGCACCGCAUGGUGAUAUUUGUUAAAGAAAUUCGCUGAUAGAUGGGCAUGCGUUCCAUUAGGUAGUUGGUGAGGUAACGGCUCACCAAGCCGACGAUGGAUAGGGGAACUGAGAGGUUGGUCCCCCACACUGGUACUGAGACACGGACCAGACUCCUACGGGAGGCAGCAGUGAGGAAUAUUGGUCAAUGGGCGGGAGCCUGAACCAGCCAAGUCGCCGUGAAGGAAGAAGGAUCUAUGGUUCGUAAACUUCUUUUGCAGGGGAAUAAAGUGCAGGACGUGUCCUGUUUUGUAUGUACCCUGAGAAUAAGGAUCGGCUAACUCCGUGCCAGCCGCGGC